AUUGAACGCUGGCGGCAGGCCUAACACAUGCAAGUCGAGCGGAUGAAGGGAGCUUGCUCCUGGAUUCAGCGGCGGACGGGUGAGUAAUGCCUAGGAAUCUGCCUGGUAGUGGGGGAUAACGUCCGGAAACGGGCGCUAAUACCGCAUACGUCCUGAGGGAGAAAGUGGGGGAUCUUCGGACCUCACGCUAUCAGAUGAGCCUAGGUCGGAUUAGCUAGUUGGUGGGGUAAAGGCCUACCAAGGCGACGAUCCGUAACUGGUCUGAGAGGAUGAUCAGUCACACUGGAACUGGGACACGGUCCAAACCCCUACGGGGGGCAGCAGGGGGAAAUUUUGGAAAAUGGGCGAAAGCCUGAUCCAGCCAGGCCGGGGGGGGGAAAAAGGUUUUCGGAUUGUAAAGCCCUUUAAGUUGGGAGGAAGGGAAGUAAGUUAAUACCUUGCUGUUUUGACGUUACCAAAAAAAUAAGCACCGGCUAACUUCGU
RNAcentral lists this ribosomal RNA (483 nucleotides) under uncultured bacterium. Its description in RNAcentral is "partial 16S ribosomal RNA". It matches the Rfam family "Bacterial small subunit ribosomal RNA", at positions 30 to 506 of the family's 1533-position model. The record is from RNAcentral.